RNAcentral lists this ribosomal RNA (460 nucleotides) under uncultured bacterium. RNAcentral's name for it is "partial 16S ribosomal RNA". It matches the Rfam family "Bacterial small subunit ribosomal RNA", at positions 338 to 795 of the family's 1533-position model. The record is from RNAcentral.
CCUACGGGAGGCAGCAGUGAGGAAUAUUGGUCAAUGGGCUUACGCCUGAACCAGCCAAGUCGCGUGAGGGAAGACUGCCCUAUGGGUUGUAAACCUCUUUUGUCAGGGAGUAAUUGGCGCUACGUGUAGCGCUAUCGAGAGUACCUGAAGAAAAAGCAUCGGCUAACGCCGGGCAUGCGGCCGCGUAAAUACGGAGGAUGCGAGCGUUAUCCGGUUUUAUUGGGUUUAAAGGAUUCGUGGGCGGAUUGCCAAGUUAGCGUGAAAGUGCCGGGGCUAAACCGGGCUGUGCCGUUGGAACUGGCGGUCGUGAGUGCGCGGAAAGCAUGCGGAAUGCGUGGUGUAGCGGUGAAAUGCUUAGAGAUGACGAAGAACUCCGAUUGCGAAGGCAGCAUGCCGAAGCGGAACUGACGCUGAUGCGCGAAAGCGUGGGUAUCGAACAGGAUUAGAUACCCGUGUAGUC